Molecule: long non-coding RNA, 442 nt
Organism: Neocloeon triangulifer
Lineage: Eukaryota; Metazoa; Arthropoda; Insecta; Ephemeroptera; Baetidae
Exons: 3
Source: RefSeq, a predicted model, not a curated record
CUGUGAAUGGUACUUUGACAGACAGAUACACACCAGGCCAGCCAUUGUUUAAAGCUAAUGAUAUAUAUACUUUAACGUCUGGAUAUGAUGCUGUUGGUGCAUAUUCUUAUUGCUGCGCCCUCGGGAAAAAGUUGUGGGAACCAACUCAACCAGAAUUCGCUCAACUUGUUAGUUAUCACGCAAAUGACCAAUUCAUUGGAAUCUUGCUUGGAGAGUCUCAGGGCGUGAACUCGACCCAUGAAGCUUGGUGUGAAAGCGGGCGAUUAUUGUCCAGUGAUAUGUACUAUACGUAUUACACUGGUGGGACCUCAUUAUUUUACGAAAACUCAUUGAGCUGCGAAAAAACUAUGUUCUAUAAAUUUAAUGCUGCGUCAUUAACUACGGUUUCACAUUUCUCAUUAUGGCCGGCUAACGCGCCUAAAUUUUGGUUCACUUCUUUCAU